This 199-nucleotide long non-coding RNA is filed under the name Lathyrus oleraceus (garden pea). RNAcentral describes it as "Pisum sativum (pea) long non-coding RNA (PSAT_LNC013115)". Lineage: Eukaryota; Viridiplantae; Streptophyta; Magnoliopsida; Fabales; Fabaceae. The record is from RNAcentral.
GAAGGUUAGAAAUAAAAUAAGAAUCAUGUAAUAAAAUUUUCAGAAUUUAAAAAUGCAGAAAAGUAUUCUUUAACCAAUUUAAACAAGGUAGAAAAGAGAAAACUAGUGAAAAAUAGAAAAUUAGUGAAAGAAAAUGUGAAAAAAUAAAAAUCAAAUGAAGAAAAAUAAAAGCGAAUUUUAGAAAUUAUUUUUGUAUUUU